AAGAUUUUAAGUUAAACUAAACUAUUGAUCUUCAAAAUUAAAAAUAUAUUUAUUUAUUUUAUAAAUCUUA
Molecule: transfer RNA, 70 nt
Filed under: Bombus sylvestris
Lineage: Eukaryota; Metazoa; Arthropoda; Insecta; Hymenoptera; Apidae
Description: tRNA-Trp
Source: RNAcentral